CGACGCGCGCACUCUUGUCUGCUUAUGAGGGCUCCUCCCUUCAGCUUUGGUCCCUCGGGGCGUCUGGGCAGCCUACGCUUUCCGACUGGAAUCAGCCAUUUUACCAAGAAAGUUGGGUUUCUUUUACUGGCAAAUAGUACUUCAAGAGCACAGUCUUAUGUAAGAAGUACGGUCUAUAUAAAGACUGUCCAGGACAAAAACUGGCCACUCCAUUCAGCAUUGACAGCAGUAUUUAAAGCUGGUGCAUGGUAAGGUGAAGAAGUUUCUCAAGGGCAAAGACAAUGCCUUCAUGCAUGUUCAGUGUCUGCCCCCGUGGGCUUUGAAAUGAUCGCUGACAAUGGGGGAUCUGCAGUGACUUCUCUGCCUCUGCCAAAGCCCAGGGGUGCUGCUCCCUAAUUAUAAGGAUUCUAAUGAGACUCAGAGCAGGUGUAACACAGGGCAUGGAGCUUCCUGAGCAAGAGGCUGGCUAACAAACUGUGGACGUGGUACUUAGACACAUUAAGAGACAUUACAGGGACACCAGCAAGUAUGUCUCCCUGGGGAGAAGCCAAGUGCAGAUGCUACGGCCACAGAUGAUAUGGUUUGGCUCUGUGUCCCCACUCAAAUCUCAUCUCAAGUUGUAAUCCCUGGAUGUCGAGGGAGGGACCUGGUGGGAGGUGAUUGGAUUGGUUCGCAUGAUAGUGAGGGAGUUCUCACGAGAUCUGGUUGUUUGAUAAGUGUCUGGCAUUUCUCCUGUGCUGUCUCUCCUGCCACCUUGUGAAGAAGGUGCCUGCUUCUCCUUCGCCUUCCGCCAUGAUUGUAAGUAAGUUUCCUGAGGCCUCCCUAGCAAUGCAGAACUGUGAGUCAAUU
Molecule: long non-coding RNA, 849 nt
Filed under: Pan troglodytes (chimpanzee)
Lineage: Eukaryota; Metazoa; Chordata; Mammalia; Primates; Hominidae
Description: long non-coding RNA NONPTRT009572
Source: RNAcentral